This 887-nucleotide long non-coding RNA is filed under the name Numida meleagris (helmeted guineafowl). Its description in RNAcentral is "lncRNA (ENSNMEG00000000276.1)". The record is from RNAcentral. Lineage: Eukaryota; Metazoa; Chordata; Aves; Galliformes; Numididae.
UUAAUUUAACACAGUUUGUUUGCACUGAAGAAAACAAAACGGUCAUGUGAAGGAAGCUACCAGCAUAGUAUGAGAUUUUUCUUACAUUCAUACCAAUUUAAACAGAUGUUACCAGUCCUGUCCUACCUAUUAACAUUUUAGGUGACAGAAGAUGUCAUUUGAUGAUAUACAGAGAAUACAUAAUUAAACAGCUGGCUAGUAAAAGAAACCACUCACUGAAAAACAUGCUGAAAGUAAACUGCUAAUAAAUACAUUUUGAAGCAUGCAGUAGAAUAUUAAUUAACUCAUUUAUGUGAUCCUGAGGGAACUAUGAUUUGAAAUGAUGAGAUACCUUUUGGGUUUUUUUUUGUUUGUUUGUUUUGAUUUACCUAGCAUACUUCUGCAAUCAAAUGGCAUUAAGGAGGAUUUCAGCAUAUAAACUCCUGGUCAAUUCAAUGACUCUUAAAUCAUGAACUUAAUCACAUGUUUAUUAAAGUUCUGUCUGUGGUGCCCCAGUACUGCAAUCUGAUAAAACAAAAUCACAUGGUUCCUGCUGGAAAACUUUAAUGUGACCACUUAGGGUAGAGAGAGGAAUGGAAUUGAUUCUGCAGUUAAAUCUGCCCAUUUGUUAAGAGCACAGAAAAAAAAAGAUAAUUUGCUAAUAACUUUGUGGUAAUGGCUAUUCUACUUGCAGAAUUUCCUGUUAGAAAGUCAGAAUUUAUCUUCAGGCAUUUCACUACAUCUACAGGAGCUGCUGUCAGACACUGUAAGGACAGAGGAGUGUAUGAUAUAGUUUCAGUCAGAUGCUUCUUCUCCGCUACAGCUCUGAGUUGAAAACUGCUGACCACACAUAUGAACAACAUCAGAUGAGAAUGCAUGUUAAAUAAAUGCACAUCUAAUCAUGUGCA